RNAcentral lists this transfer RNA (77 nucleotides) under Rhizobiaceae bacterium. RNAcentral describes it as "tRNA-Phe". It matches the Rfam family "tRNA". From Rfam's summary of the family: Transfer RNA (tRNA) molecules are approximately 80 nucleotides in length. Their secondary structure includes four short double-helical elements and three loops (D, anti-codon, and T loops). Lineage: Bacteria; Pseudomonadati; Pseudomonadota; Alphaproteobacteria; Hyphomicrobiales; Rhizobiaceae. The record is from RNAcentral. RNAcentral also lists the same sequence under 1 other name.
GGCCCAGGUAGCUCAGUUGGUAGAGCAGCGGACUGAAAAUCCGCGUGUCGGUGGUUCGAUUCCGCCCCUGGCCACCA